AUUGAACGCUGGCGGCAUGCCUUACACAUGCAAGUCGAACGGCAGCACGGGAGCAAUCCUGGUGGCGAGUGGCGAACGGGUGAGUAAUAUAUCGGAACGUACCUUUCAGUGGGGGAUAACGUAGCGAAAGUUACGCUAAUACCGCAUAUUCUGUGAGCAGGAAAGCAGGGGAUCUUAGGACCUUGCGCUGAUUGAGCGGCCGAUAUCAGAUUAGCUAGUUGGUGAGGUAAAGGCUCACCAAGGCGACGAUCUGUAGCGGGUCUGAGAGGAUGAUCCGCCACACUGGAACUGAGACACGGUCCAGACUCCUACGGGAGGCAGCAGUGGGGAAUUUUGGACAAUGGGGGCAACCCUGAUCCAGCCAUGCCGCGUGAGUGAAGAAGGCCU
This 387-nucleotide ribosomal RNA is filed under the name uncultured bacterium. RNAcentral's name for it is "bacterial SSU rRNA". It matches the Rfam family "Bacterial small subunit ribosomal RNA", at positions 30 to 417 of the family's 1533-position model. The record is from RNAcentral.